CAGUAGCCGCGGUAAUACGUGGGGUGCGAGCGUUAAUCGGAAUUACUGGGCGUAAAGCGUGCGCAGGCGGUUCGUUAAGACAGAUGUGAAAUCCCCGGGCUUAACCUGGGAACUGCAUUUGUGACUGGCGAGCUAGAGUAUGGCAGAGGGGGGUAGAAUUCCACGUGUAGCAGUGAAAUGCGUAGAGAUGUGGAGGAAUACCGAUGGCGAAGGCAGCCCCCUGGGCCAAUACUGACGCUCAUGCACGAAAGCGUGGGGAGCAAACAGGAUUAGAUACCCCAGUAGUCCCUGUCUCUUAUAC
This 301-nucleotide ribosomal RNA is filed under the name uncultured bacterium. Its description in RNAcentral is "partial 16S ribosomal RNA". It matches the Rfam family "Bacterial small subunit ribosomal RNA", at positions 509 to 807 of the family's 1533-position model. The record is from RNAcentral.